UUAUAUAAUGAAGGACAAGAAGCCUAAGAGCUAAAUCACGCUAUCAGUUAAUAAUUGGAUUUCAGCCACAUUAAACGUGUUUUUGUUCGAACAAAGAAUAUUUUUGAAUAUAAAGUGUGAUUUAAACGAAAAAAAAUUAAUUUUUUGAGAAUCUUUCCAUUUUUAUUUCUUUCAAUAAAUAUUAUUAAUCUUUGUUUUUUAAAAUUGUAAUUUAACAAAAUAAAAAAUGAAUUCAUUUUCUCAGAGUGAUGAAACACGAUCAUUGUUAAAAAAUAGAAAUUUCAGUAUUAAGUGGAAUAAUAAAGUGCUCAAGUGGAUAUUCUAUAAAGUUUUGUUUGUCUUAUUGUUACUAGGUGCUAUAUAUCUUGUACACGUUCUUACUAAGAAUAAAAUUCAGCUAGAAUCCAAUGCAAUUCCAAAAACGAAAAAUUCACUGCACAUCACGAGUAUUGCAACCACAAAUGAUGAUUUUUUAAAGAAAUGUGCUCCUAUAGUGAAAUGUGAUCCAAAUGCCAAGUAUAGAAGUGCAAAUGGAUCUUGUAAUAAUUUGGAGAUUCCCACGUGGGGUGCUGCAAAAACUCCAAUGCUUCGUAUGAUUGAUCCUAAUUACAAUGAUGGUAAUUACGAAUUACGAUUGCAAACAAAUGGAAAAGCAUUACCCAGUGCAAGAGUUAUAAAUGUAAAUGUUUUUCUAAAUCAUGAAAUAUACCGUGCUGAUGAAAAUAAUGUACUUUUAUUGCCAUUUUCACAAUUAUUAGCCCAUGACGUAUCUGGUAUGCCCAAUAAUGUUAUCUCAGAAAAGAAUGGUGCAGAAGUUGACUGUUGCUUAAUUAAAAAUAAAAUAAAAGAAUAUCCACAAUGUCAAUUGGCUAUCGAAUAUCCACCAGACGAUCCUGUUUUUAGUGUACAUAAUAAAACUUGUUUGACAUUAUUCCGAGCAUUGACAUCGAAGCAUUAUUAUGACUUUCCACUACACCCCACAACGUUUAUCAAUGCCAAUUCGCAUUACAUAGACGCGUCUGAAGUAUAUGGAUCCAACGAAAGUUAUGCACUACGCCUUAGAACUAUGGAUGGUGGAAAACUUAAUUUCUCUAUUGGUGAUAAUGGUCAAAUGUUCUGUCCAUUUUUAAGCAAUCCACACAAGAAAUCAUCAAUUGGAAAUCAAAAUAUCAAUAUUGAAUUUGAUACAGGAGAUCCAAACAACGGGAAUCAAAAUUUAGGAAUAACUGCAAUGCAAACCUUAUUUUUAAGGUUUCACAAUUAUAUUGCUUCAAAGUUCUCGUCUUUAAAUCCAUUUUGGUCCGAUGAAAUCGUUUAUCAGGAAGCACGAAGAAUUGUCAUUGCGACUAUUCAACGUAUUACAUAUGAAGAUUUCUUACCUAUAAUUAUUGGAGAAGAUUUUCAAGAAAUGUAUGGAUUAAAUAAACCAAAUAUCUAUGAUCCUAGUGUAAAUCCUUCAACGUCUCAGGAGUUUUCAUCUGCUGCUUAUCGAAUCUUACAUGCAGUUAUACCAGUUCAAUUUAAUUUUAUGAACAAAAACUACAAAAUAGAAAACUCGGCAAAAAUUACUGAUUGGAUGUUAAAUGCAGACCUAAUACCCCUUGAUAAUAACUUUGAUAAAUUGUUAAAAGGGUUUAUAGAAACUCCAGGAAGAAUGGUUCAACCUUCUUAUAAUUUUUACAUAUCCAACUUCUUGUUUCCUAGAAUAGACAAUUAUUCAAUAAAAGGACAAGAUGUACUCGGUUUACUUGAUAAUCCUAAGUACAAUAGUCGUGAUCUUCUUGCAAUUGAUAUCUCAAGGGGCCGCGAUGUGGGCCUACAGCCAUACAAUCGAGUUAGACAUUUUUGUGGAUAUCCAUUGGCUAAAGAUUUUGAAGAUUUGGCGGAUCUUUUACACACAAAAAAAAACACAGUGAUGGUGCAAUUGUGGGUCCAACAGCGAGGUGUUUAAUUGCCGACGGUUUUUAUCGAUACAAAGUUGGUGAUCGAUUUUUCUACGAUGUACAAGGGCAGCCCGGUAGCUUCACAGAAGAUCAAUUGAAAGUGAUAAAGAAAAUUACUCUUGGUCAUGUUAUAUGUGCAAAUUCAAACGUAGACCUUGUUCAAAAUGAUAUGUUUAAGACAAUCGAUCAUAA
This 2135-nucleotide unclassified non-coding RNA is filed under the name Rhopalosiphum maidis (corn leaf aphid). Its description in RNAcentral is "peroxidase-like, transcript variant X2". The record is from RNAcentral. Lineage: Eukaryota; Metazoa; Arthropoda; Insecta; Hemiptera; Aphididae.